CCUACGUGAGGCAGCAGUGGGGAAUAUUGCGCAAUGGGCGAAAGCCUGACGCAGCGACGCCGCGUGAGGGAUGAAGGUCUUCGGAUCGUAAACCUCUGUCAGCAGGGAAGAACAGUCACUGUGCUAAUCAGCAGUGAAUUGACGGUACCUGCAAAGGAAGCACCGGCUAACGCCGUGCCAGCAGCCGCGGUAGUACGGAGGGUGCGAGCGUUAAUCGGAAUGACUGGGCGUAAAGGGCGAGUAGGCGGGAGGUCAAGUCAGGGGUGAAAUCCCAGGGCUCAACGUGGGAACUGCAUUUGAAACUGGCAAACUGGAGUGUGUGAGAGGAUAGUGGAAGUCGAGGUGUAGGAGUGAAAUCCGUAGAUAUCAGGAGGAACAUCAGUGGCGAAGGCGACUAUCUGGCACAUAACUGACGCUGAGGAGCGAAAGCGUGGGUAGCAAACAGGAUUAGAUACCCCUGUAGUC
This 465-nucleotide ribosomal RNA is filed under the name uncultured bacterium. RNAcentral describes it as "partial 16S ribosomal RNA". It matches the Rfam family "Bacterial small subunit ribosomal RNA", at positions 338 to 795 of the family's 1533-position model. The record is from RNAcentral.